UACGGGGGGGGCAAGCGUUGUUCGGAAUUACUGGGCGUAAAGGGCGCGUAGGCGGCCUUCUAAGUCGGACGUGAAAUCCCUCGGCUUAACCGAGGAACUGCGUCCGAUACUGAAAGGCUUGAAUCCGGGAGAGGGAUGUGGAAUUCCAGGUGUAGCGGUGAAAUGCGUAGAUAUCUGGAGGAACACCGGCGGCGAAGGCGGCAUCCUGGACCGGCAUUGACGCUGAGGCGCGAAAGCUAGGGGAGCAAACGGG
This 253-nucleotide ribosomal RNA is filed under the name uncultured bacterium. Its description in RNAcentral is "partial 16S ribosomal RNA". It matches the Rfam family "Bacterial small subunit ribosomal RNA", at positions 524 to 776 of the family's 1533-position model. The record is from RNAcentral.